GUUUUAAUAAUUUAAAUAAAAUAUUGGUCUUGUAAACCAAAUAUGAAUUAUAUUCUUAAAACU
RNAcentral lists this transfer RNA (63 nucleotides) under Calvisia medogensis. Its description in RNAcentral is "tRNA-Thr". Lineage: Eukaryota; Metazoa; Arthropoda; Insecta; Phasmatodea; Lonchodidae. The record is from RNAcentral.